GGUUCAAUAGUGUGUGAUUGUAAUGUAUGUCAGUUAAUGUCUGUAAUGCCUGCAUGUAAACAAUGUAUUAACGUAAUUUUAGAGGACCAGAUUGCAAACAAGUGGUAACUUUAUCUGUUAAGGCCCGGUCACAGUACACAACGAAACGAUAACUUGUAUACGCGCGCUGAUUGGUCGGAAAAUUAUCGUUAUCGUCCGACUAAAAAUAAAAUGCUC
Molecule: non-coding RNA, 216 nt
Organism: Paramuricea clavata
Lineage: Eukaryota; Metazoa; Cnidaria; Anthozoa; Malacalcyonacea; Plexauridae
Source: the annotation of a GenBank genome assembly